Molecule: non-coding RNA, 112 nt
Filed under: uncultured Gemmiger sp.
Lineage: Bacteria; Bacillati; Bacillota; Clostridia; Eubacteriales; Oscillospiraceae
Description: THF riboswitch
Rfam family: THF (Tetrahydrofolate) riboswitch aptamer
About the family: THF riboswitch presents a pseudoknot that joins P1-P2 and the loop of P3 and two THF binding.
Source: RNAcentral
GCAGAGUAGAAACCUGCGCGUGGGGCGUUGCCCCGAAGUGCCUGACCAACGGGGAGUUGUGGCAGGACGAAGCAGCCGAAAGGCUCGCGGUGCCGGUUUCGCAUCCCACUGC